Molecule: long non-coding RNA, 3886 nt
Organism: Panthera uncia (snow leopard)
Lineage: Eukaryota; Metazoa; Chordata; Mammalia; Carnivora; Felidae
Exons: 2
Source: RefSeq, a predicted model, not a curated record
UGGCUGAAGGGGGGGGGGUCCCGAGGGAGAACUUGGGGGACAAAGGAAGCCACGGAGGGGUGUCACUUGGGACAGGGAAGGGCGUUUCUGCCGAGAUGCUCAGUACCGGUGGGUGUGGGGCCGCUGUGGGGAUUUGAGGAAAACUGACAGUGGGGAAAACCCGGAGUUAGGCAAGCCAUGAGGUGUUGACCCUGCUCUGAGAAGAUGCCAGGAAGUUCCACAGAAGCAAUGCCAAGUCUGGGCUACAGAGGCGGCGAGGGAACGUGCUACCCCCUGACUGAGGCAGGGUUGGGGUGAGAGGUCUGAGGCCAGAGAGGAAGGAGGCCGGGAAGAUUCCAGAUUUGGGAGAGUGGGAGGAAUUAGCGGGCGGGGGGCUGCACGGGGGUGGCUUGGAAGAAAGGUGGAUGGAGAGGAGGAACGUGAACCAGUUGGAAAGUCUGUAUGAACUUCCUCCGGAUCAAGUCCCUGUACCUGUGAGUGACCUAAUCUGGGGACCAGACCUACACCGUGGUUUAGCAUUCACAGAGUUGGUUAAAUGACAUCCCUGUCAACGAGUGCCAGAAACAUGUCCGAGGUGAGCAUUCACUACAGAGCGUGGACCUGUGGAGGUGGAAAUAGAAAUGAGCACACUAUUAAAAGAAAAGGAAAACAAAGAUAAAAGAGCUCAGACGAACAUGUGGUCGAGCAUUAAAUUUGCCUCGAAGAUGAUGUUCCUCUGCAUGGAGGGGUUUGGUGCCACUGGGAACCCCUCUGUGAGCACUUCCCAAGCAAGGCUUGCCCCACUCACUCCCCCCCCCCCAUCCCCCAGGCUUCUGUGAGUGAGUGGGAGUUGCCCAUCCCCAGAAGCCUUGCCCCCUGGGCACAGCUCUGGGACCAGCAGACAUGCCUGGGCUAUUUGGAGCCACACCAGCCCUACGACCCCAGGACCUUGGUGCCUUACUGUCUGAUGCUCACUGAUCCAUCCGGGGUGAGGCAGCAAGUAGUCAAGUCAACUCUGAAACCUAAAAAAGCCCCGUGGAUACACACACACACACACACACACACACACACACACACACUACAUGAUUAAUGAUUAUUUCCUCUAUUUAAAGGAAAAUAGCAGCCAGCAGGACCGCACGUAUGUCACAGAAUUACUUGAAAUUUGAAUUUCCCCAGGAAAAACACUAGAAAUUCAGGCUCACCCUAACUUCCUGAUAUUAGUACAGGCUUCGCUUUCAGUAUUAUUUUCUUUUGGCUUGACUCCCAACAUUCUGCUUAUUCACACUCAGGCCAGGGAGCUCUUCCCUUUUUUUUUUUUUUUUAAAUUGAGAUAUAAUUGACAUAUACCAUUGUGUAAGUUGAGGGUGUACAGCGUAUUGAUUUGAUAUGUUUAUAUUGCAAAAGGAUUGCCGUUGCAAGGUUAGCCAACACCUCUGUUCCCAUCACGCGACCAUCAUUUCUUCUACUAGGAGUGGGAACAAUUCAGAUCUACUCUGCCAGCAAGUUCGAGGUUUAUUGUACAAUUUUGUUGCCUCUAAUCACUGUACUGUGUGUUAGAUCUCCAAGGCCAUGGGAUUCCAGAAACUUCUAAAUUGGUAGGAAGGAAUGGUUUGGAGGUCUGAAGCGGAGGCAAGAGGAGAGUUUCGUUACCAUUCCACUGGCUGGAACCAUAAUAGGGUCUCUUCGCUAUUUGUGAAACCUCACCACAUUCUGUGGCUUUGGCAUGUGGCUCACAAACCUUACUUGAGUUCUUUAUCGCUGUCAUUUAACCCCGAUUUCAGUCUAAGAGAGUAACAAACUAGAACUCUUGUUUUCCUAUACACACAGAUCACUCAUCUAUUCAAUUCGUCUUUUCCCCAAAUAUGUAUAUGGAGUGCCUGGCGUGUGCCCAGCGCCAUCCUGGGUGAACAAGGUGAACAUCAAUGAACGAGGUAGGCAAACAUCCUGAAUUUCACGGAGCUUACGUGCUACAGACAAAAGCAGAAUACGUAAGUAAAUUGUAGGGUAGUGGCAGAGACGUGCUAGAGGGAAAAAGCGGGAAAGAGGGUAGGAAGGGCCAGGGGGGUGCAAGAGUUCACAUUUUACACAGGAUGGUUCAGAGAAAGCUUGGCAACAGGUGUGCACAGGAGCGGCACAUGAUGGGGCCCGAUAACUAAUGCUCGCGAUCUCAUUUUUCCCUCGUUACUAAGGGACGUUGGAAAGCACAUGAUUCAAUCGGUUGCAGUCAUACCAUCUCGAAUCUCAGCUCUGAAUCUCAGCCUUGGGAGGGAAGGCACCUUCCAAGGGUGUUCCUUCUGGGAACUAAACUGAACUAAAAAAUCUGUUCCAAGCACCCGAAACCUCUUCCUGUGCCUUCGAACGCCCACCGCCACCGCCCACACUUACGCUCAGGAGGCGACCCCAUCUCUGUUUUUGUCCACCCCCUGGGCUCCGGCUUCAAAUGCAUGGUGGCAUCUCCAUUCUUCCCUCCUCCAUAGAAAGAGUUGUUCCUCUGAUAGUAAAGGUUCAUUUCUCCUCCUGCACUCUGAUCGCCAGCAGCCGGAAUCUAUUAGAUUCUUCGCGAUAUUGAAAGGCUCUGGUGUCUCCCUUAAAGGUUUUUUUUUUAAUGUUUAUUUAUUUUUGAGACACAGAGAGAGACAGAGCGUGAGCGGGGAAGGGGCAGGGAGAGAGAGAAAGACACAGAAUCCGAAGAGGCUCCGGGCUCUGAGCUGUCAGCACAGAGCCCGACGCGGGGCUCGAACUCACGGACCGUGAGCUCACGACCUGAGCCGAAGUCAGACACUUAACCGACUGAGCCACCCAGGCGCCCCUGGUGUCUCCCUUAAAUAAAGACUGUAAACCCAUCUUUCCCAAUGUUUACAACGGCACUGUCAACAAUAGCCAAAUUAUGGAAAGAGCCUAAAUGUCCAUCGGCUGAUGAGUGGAUAAAGAAGAUGUGGUUUAUAUCUACAAUGGAAUACUACUUGGCAAUGAGAAAGAAUGAAAUCAUGCCGUUUGCAGCAAUGUGGAUGUUACUGGAGGGCAUUAUGCUGAGUGAACUAAGUCGGUCAGAGAAAGACAGGUGUCAUGUUUUCACUCAUAUGUGGAUCUUGAGAAACUUAGCAGAAGACCAUGGGGGGAGGGAAGGGAAAAAAAUAGUUACAAUUAGAGAAGGAGGGAGGCAAACCAUAAGAGACUCGUGAAUACAGAGAACAAACUGAGGGUUGACGGGGAGGGAGGGGUAACUGGGUGAUGGGCAUCGAGGCGGGCACCUGUUGGGAUGAGCACUGGGUGUUGUAUGGAAGCGAUGAAUCAUGGGAAUCUACCCCCAAAACCAAGAGCACACUGUAUAUACCGUAGGUUAGCCAACUUGAUAAUAAAUUAUAUUAAAAAAACAAAAAUUUAAAAUAAAAAAAAAAAACAGAAAAAAAAUAAACCCAUCCUUAACCCCACACCCCGCUCUAACGACAUACCCUCCCUCUUCUUGGGGAGCCUUCAUUCGUCGUCCAAACCCACUCUUCCUACAUUAUCAUCGUUCACUCCCCACUCAGUCCCCUCCAGCCUGGCGUCUGUCUCCACCAUUCCCCUGAGAUCGGCCUCCCCAGGGUCACCAACAGCCUCCCGUGGAGAAAUGUCAUCCACUGCUCUGUGAAGCUGGGGCAGCUGACGCAUCGCGUGCCGGUGAGUGGGAGGUGUCCACUCUCCCCCUACUCGCGAUACGGUGGACAACACGUAGGCACCGUUACCUCCUGGGCUGCCCCAGCUGAAGCCACGCUUGGAGUUUCUGAAACCCUCACGCAAUCUAAAAAGACAUCUGCACAGGCCUUUCCAGUAAAGGUGGCAGAGGGAAGCAGGGUCACGGCCUCUCCCCCCAUCGGUACCUUAUAAAAUGACCACACGACAGCUUCACCAGCAAAAAUUCUCAAAA